AAACUGAAGAUCAGACAUCGGCCACUGAAUUCUGAUCGGAGCAUCUUUACCGAUGAGAGGCAACUUCGAACCCGCUAAGACACAAUAAUAUAGUUCAUGAUUCCAAAACCGUCCAGCUCAGUUAAAAAAAAAAAAAAAAGACAACGUUAUUCCUGGCAAUGACACUGACAGUCUGUGAAAAUGUCUGUCUGCACAGCGCGGCAUCCUUCAGGCAGAUGAUAUACUUUUAGGCAGAUGAGUAGGGAAUGAAAAUAAUUAACGCAACAGUACAGAUACAAGCAAAGAAAUUCUCUUCUGAAGAACGUUUCAUGUUUGCCUUUUGUUUUUCUCAGUAUACGAAUCCUUUCUCAUUAGGUAGAAAUUCGACAGUAAUAAUAAGAAUAAAAAAAAAAAACAUUCUCCAUCUUUGGGGAUCCAAAAAUCAGGAUCAAAACAUUUCAGCUCCUUUAAAAAAAGAAUUAAAAAGGGGGAAAAAAGUCGUCCUUGUGUGAUGCGACGUAAACACUACAGGGAUCAUUCUUGCUUUGGGAUUUCUUAGAAGUCAGCGUUUGUUUAUUAGACUUGAACAGCUACUUAUUCGCCGAUGAGGGGGGAUGAGGUAAUGCGUCAGCGAUGCACGGCACACUUUUUUCUUCUUCUUCUUCCCCCCCUAAACCCCUGCUCUGGAAGUCGCGUUGAAGUAGUAACAUCGAAAAGUGCCCCCUCUCCUCCAGGAGGAGUCUAGUGUAACAUGUAACCCCUGCGUGGCCCCAUGAGUCAGGAUCCAGAACCGCUGGCUCUUUCUGGGCUUGAAUUGAAUUAGCAGGUGUGUCCAAACUUUUGGUCUGUACUGUAUAUGUGAAUUUUACCCAAAAUAAUAAUAAUAAUAGUAGUAUGUAUUUAUGAUGAGAUUUUUAAUUGAUGCAUUUGUUUAGAGCCACCUAGUGGUGUGAUGAGUAACUGCAUGCAACGGGUCCUUCAGGCGCUCUCACGGCUUCCCCCACCAGGAUUCUGAGGAACGCUGGUGGAGCUGUGGGGCAACAUGCGUGCGACACUAAGUCACAUUGUGAGGAAUGUUUCAUUCUGUAUCGUACUAGGUGACAAACAACCAAGCAAGGAAGACCACAGUGGCGCCGUGACGAACGAGAAGGGUUACAGUGGCACAUUCCUUUGAAGAGUGUGAACUAAGUUUCUUUGAACUCUUUGAAGAAUCUGAAUUAAUGACCUACAGCAACAUUUAACAUUUAAUUUGGCUUUGGGUUUAAUGAAGUAUUUUUGAAUUUGAAACAAACUAUGCUAUUUUUAAUGACUGCACAGUGCUGUUUUUCUUAUGUAGUAAAUUUGCCAUUACUGUGCAGUUUCUUACUUUCAUUUUUCAGUUUUUCUUUUUUCUUUUUUUUUUUUUUACUUUUAUGUGAAUUUGCAUGCCUGUAUCCAUCUUUCUCUUGCUACUGAUGCAUCUGCAUUUCCUCACUGUGGGACAAUAUGGGAUUAUGUUGAAAACAUGUAUAAGUUUCUUUCCACCCUGUAUUUGUCUAAAAUAAAAACGAAAAAGAAAACGA
This is a long non-coding RNA of Xiphophorus hellerii (green swordtail), 1541 nucleotides long. RefSeq lists it as uncharacterized. Lineage: Eukaryota; Metazoa; Chordata; Actinopteri; Cyprinodontiformes; Poeciliidae. The transcript is spliced from 2 exons. The record is from RefSeq and is a predicted model, not a curated record.